GUAAUAGAAUAUCGGUCUGGGUUGCCAAAACGGAAACAGGCCUAUCAAGAUUCUUUUUGGGCCAACGGCGUAUCAAGAUUCAAGAUUACGCGAAGCUUGGAAGAGCGAGGGGAAGGUAGGAGGAAGACGAGAAGAAUGGGAAGAAAGAGGGAAAUGGAAGUGACGUGGAAGAACAGCAAGAAACGUUCUUUGUCGGCGGUGUCCAACUUUGGUAACCUUCCUUUUGAGCAUCCAGAGGAGGAUGAGACUCCUCACCAAGACCGUGCUCGUUUGCAGGGCGAUAAAGAUGCCGAAAUCGGUUCUCGUAACUCUGACCAAUCCAAAGACCAAGAUAGUCCCCAGUACUCCAACUUAUCGGAAGCAAGACGUCUGGCCAAAGAAUUUCAAGCUCAGGGAGACAGGCUUGCUGAGGAUGGGAAGUACGCGGAAGCAUUAGGUAAAUGGGAGUCUGCUCUGUCACUGACACCUGAAGUUGCGGUAUUACACGAACAGAAGGCCCAAGUUCUACUGGAAAUUGGAGAUGCUUGGAAUGCUUUGAAGGCUGCGAUGCGAGCUACGGAAUUGCAGCCGUCGUGGGCUGAGGCAUGGGUCACGCUUGGCAGAGCACAGCUAAAUUUUGGCGAGCCUGAUUGUGCUAUUGUGAGCUUUGACAGAGCCCUAUCUAUCAAGCCCGAUUGCGCGGAUGCGCAAGAAGACCGAAAAACUGCAUUACGUCUUGUAAAGAAGAGAAAGCAACUCCACUCAGCAGGCUUGAGUAAUUCUAAAAAUCGAUAUGCGGUUGGUGAUAAAGAUGAAAGCGCCUGAAGGAGAGAACUUGGUCAUCGCAGUUGUGUUCUCAGCAGCUGGAUCCUCACAUGCAUAGUUCAUUGGCAUGGACAGACGAUCUCUCCAGUAGAAGUUUCCUCCCUGCAAAUUAAUGUUGACGUGAUCAGGAUGUGACAGUGCGUUAUAAGUUAUCGAUGUAGGAUCUAUAUAGUAUAUACGGUCCGGCGCAAUAUUCAGGACGGAUCACUGGUCAAGAUUUGCUCCUUCAAGAAUUUGCAAGCAUCCAGUGAUUGAGAAAUGAUAUAAAGAUCAUGGAUACCUACCGUUGGCUAGAUAAAAUUGAAAUCGCUACUUAGACGAUCAGGAGUCGCAAAAUACAAAAGGGUAUUUAUAAAAGUGGUAAUGAAAAUUUGAAGAUUGAGUAUCGCUCCUCUGAUUAUCGAUGGAGCGGGCAUUUUAUCAUUCAGUGAAAAUUAAUUUCUAACAUUUCAACCCCAGCCAAUUAGUUACCAGUUAGCAUCAAUUUACUUAAAAAAUAUUCAUAACUAUUCCUUUCAAUUUACAAA
Prosopis cineraria is the source of this 1331-nucleotide RNA transcript. RefSeq lists it as uncharacterized. The transcript is spliced from 6 exons. NCBI's taxonomy places the organism in Eukaryota, Viridiplantae, Streptophyta, Magnoliopsida, Fabales, Fabaceae. The record is from RefSeq and is a predicted model, not a curated record.